Molecule: long non-coding RNA, 203 nt
Filed under: Carica papaya (papaya)
Lineage: Eukaryota; Viridiplantae; Streptophyta; Magnoliopsida; Brassicales; Caricaceae
Description: long non-coding RNA (CPAP_LNC006280)
Source: RNAcentral
AAGAAUAAAACUCCAACUCGUGUCUUCCUUCCUUUUGUAGGAAUUACGUGGGGAAAACCAUCCGUAGAGCGUAUUGAACGACCUGAAGCCCUUGAUCAUCCGACGAGGGCUAAAUUUGUAAAACUUUUUCGAGUCAUCCAAGGAUUAACUACAGCCGUAGGAUAGAACUUGGCAAACCCUUGUCCACCACUUACCCCUGAAUU